RNAcentral lists this ribosomal RNA (468 nucleotides) under uncultured bacterium. RNAcentral's name for it is "partial 16S ribosomal RNA". It matches the Rfam family "Bacterial small subunit ribosomal RNA", at positions 28 to 507 of the family's 1533-position model. The record is from RNAcentral.
GACGAACACUGGCGGCGUGCUUAACACAUGCAAGUCGAACGGAAAGGCCCGGCCUAGGUGGGGUGCGCGGGUUGCGACCGGGUGAGUAACACGUGAGUAACCUGUCACUGCCCGUGGGAUAACUUCAGACAACUUAGUCUAAUAGCGCCUAGGAUCUCUCGCUGCAUGGUGGGGGCGGGUUGGUUUCGGCGGUUGGGGGUGGAAUAGCGUCGUAUUAGCUUGAUGGUGGGGUAGUGGGUUACCAAGCCCAUGACGCGUAGCCGGGCUGAGAGGGUGACCGGCCCAAUUGGGCUGGGGAUGCGACACAGACUACUACGGGAGGCAGCAGUGGGGAAUAGUGCACUAUGGGCGGAAGCAUGAUGCAGCAACGCCGCGUGGGGGAUGACGGGCAGCGGGUUGUAAUGUAAUGCCGCUUGUGACGAAGUGUGAGUGACGGUAAUGGGUGAAGAAGCACCGGCUAACUACGUG